Long non-coding RNA from Crotalus tigris (Tiger rattlesnake), 1316 nucleotides. RefSeq lists it as uncharacterized. The transcript has 4 exons. The record is from RefSeq and is a predicted model, not a curated record. NCBI's taxonomy places the organism in Eukaryota, Metazoa, Chordata, Lepidosauria, Squamata, Viperidae.
CUCCCUCCCUCUUUCUGAAACCUUCAGGAGUGCAAAAAUGACAUGCUAAUACUUUCGCAUAACCAGUGCAUAUCUCAGAUGUAAAGUCAGUCUUCUCAAGAGGCUUCUACAGUCUUGCAAUCCCCUGCAUGAACAAUUUGGGAAGGUAUGAUUCAGGCAACCAGUUUGUAACCAGGGGCCAUAAAGAGAGCACUAACUACUGCUACAUCCUGGGAUUGUGGUUAGAGCAAUUGGCACAAGAUGGAUGCUGGUUGUGUCUUCUACCGUUAUAAGCCAGAAUAUUAAAAAUGAAAAAAAAAUGAAAAAUACCAGAAGAAAAACAAGUGGUACGGGAAAAGCACUCCUGUUUCUACAGUUUCUGCAGUUUCUAGAUGAUCUUCAAGGAGAGUCCCUUGUAGAGUGCAUUGCAGUCAUCUAACCAACCACUGGCAAGGAUUUGAAUGACUAUUGCCAGCACAUUCUGUUCCAGAAAUGACCACAAAUCUAGGCAAAUACCCUCCUGACAUACUCACAACUGCUUUUCUAGUAUUUAUUGUUUGUUUAUUUUUUUAUAUCCGGCCUUAUUUUUUUUAUAAACAAGACAAGAUGGUGAAUAGGUCCAACACACCUUCCUCCUUCCCUUUCCCCCCACAAAAAACAACCCUGUGAGGUGAAUUGGGCUGAGAGUUAGUGACUAGCCCAGCUGAUUUUAAUGGCUAAAGUGGGACUAGAACUCACAAUCUCCUGGUUUUUAGUCUGAUGCUUUAACUAUUAGAUCAAAUUGGCUAACAGGAGCUGAGAGUCCAGGAAAAUCCCCUAAUUAUAUACCUGUUAUUUAUUGGGGAGCGCAGGUCCAUCAAAAAGCUAAGAUUGAUAUUGUCUCAUGCUCAGUCAGCCUCUGAAUCAAUAGCUACUCCAUCUUGCCAUGGUUAAGUACCAACCUAUUUCUCCCCAUCUUACAGCUUCCAGACACCUUGUUUAACGUCUAUUAGAAUUUCCAAAUGGCCUAGGGUAAAGAUGCAGAGCUGAGCAUCAUCAGCAUAGUGAGGAUAAUGGGCCCAACUGUCAAAUAACAUGUAAGUGGUUUCAUGUGGUUGUUAAAGAAAAUGUGGGAGAAAGCUGAGCAUGAGGGUGUGUGAGAACCUGUGGGAAUGUGCAGAGGAAUGCAGAUUAGGUAUGGAGAAGCAACACAGUCUAGAAGUAAGAGCUGUGAAAAGAAAGCAUUUGAAUGACAUAGUACCUUAAUUAACUCACUAAAAAUAUGACUGGGAAUUUACUUGUAUGGUUUUCAAUAUUGUAUUUUAUCCCAGCUGAGCAUUAAAGAUGCCUUUCUGAAA